This 253-nucleotide ribosomal RNA is filed under the name uncultured bacterium. Its description in RNAcentral is "partial 16S ribosomal RNA". It matches the Rfam family "Bacterial small subunit ribosomal RNA", at positions 524 to 776 of the family's 1533-position model. The record is from RNAcentral.
UACAGAGGAGCCAAGCGUUGUCCGGAUUGACUGGGCGUAAAGCGCACGCAGGCGGAUGCGCGCGUGGGGUGUGAAAUCUGGCCGCUUAACGGCCAGGCGCCAUCCCAUACGGCGCGUCUGGAGUGAUGCAGAGGUCGGUGGAAUUGCCGGUGUAGUGGUGAAAUGCGUAGAGAUCGGCAGUAACACCCAGGGGGAAACCAGCCGACUGGGCAUCUACUGACGCUGAGGUGCGAGAGCGUGGGGAGCGAACCGG